Panthera uncia (snow leopard) is the source of this 368-nucleotide long non-coding RNA. RefSeq lists it as uncharacterized. The record is from RefSeq and is a predicted model, not a curated record. Lineage: Eukaryota; Metazoa; Chordata; Mammalia; Carnivora; Felidae. The transcript has 3 exons.
GCGGCGAGCUGCUUUUGUUUUUUUAGUGAGUGUGUGCUUGUAGCUUUAAUUGGUUCCUUUGGCUGGAAGGUGGGGCCUCACCGGGCAACGAAACUGGUACCGAGGCUGAGCAGACACUCUCUGCGUAGGAUCAUCAUGCCGAGCAUAAACUGGACUUUCCCACUUGCCUGGCAGGAGUGAGACAGAUCACUGUCUGCUAAAUGAGCAUCUGAGUUUCCCAAGGUCACUUGUGUUUUGGAAGCAGAUGAUCCUCCUUCUGAUGAAUUAUCAGAAGGUCAAUAGUAGCCUAAUGCUAAAUCAUAAUGCCUACAUCAUUCACCUCACUUCAUCUCAUUAUGUAGGAUUGUAUCAUCUCAUAUCAUCACAAG